This 866-nucleotide ribosomal RNA is filed under the name uncultured beta proteobacterium. RNAcentral describes it as "bacterial SSU rRNA". It matches the Rfam family "Bacterial small subunit ribosomal RNA", at positions 28 to 890 of the family's 1533-position model. Lineage: Bacteria; Pseudomonadati; Pseudomonadota; Betaproteobacteria. The record is from RNAcentral.
AUUGAACGCUGGCGGCAUGCCCUACACAUGCAAGUCGAACGGCAGCACGGACUUCGGUCUGGUGGCGAGUGGCGAACGGGUGAGUAAUAUAUCGGAACAUACCCAGUAGUGGGGGAUAACUAUCCGAAAGGAUAGCUAAUACCGCAUACGAUCUGUGGAUGAAAGCAGGGGAUCUUCGGACCUUGUGCUAUUGGAAUGGCCGAUAUCUGAUUAGCUAGUUGGUAGGGUAAAAGCCUACCAAGGCGACGAUCAGUAGCUGGUCUGAGAGGACGACCAGCCACACUGGAACUGAGACACGGUCCAGACUCCUACGGGAGGCAGCAGUGGGGAAUUUUGGACAAUGGGGGCAACCCUGAUCCAGCAAUGCCGCGUGAGUGAAGAAGGCCCUCGGGUUGUAAAGCUCUUUUGUCAGGGAAGAAACGGAGUUCUCUAAUAUAGGAUUCUAAUGACGGUACCUGAAGAAUAAGCACCGGCUAACUACGUGCCAGCAGCCGCGGUAAUACGUAGGGUGCAAGCGUUAAUCGGAAUUACUGGGCGUAAAGCGUGCGCAGGCGGUUUUGUAAGUCUGAUGUGAAAUCCCCGGGCUCAACCUGGGAACUGCAUUGGAGACUGCAAGGCCAGAGUGUGUCAGAGGGGGGUAGAAUUCCACGUGUAGCAGUGAAAUGCGUAGAGAUGUGGAGGAAUACCGAUGGCGAAGGCAGCCCCCUGGGAUAACACUGACGCUCAUGCACGAAAGCGUGGGGAGCAAACAGGAUUAGAUACCCUGGUAGUCCACGCCCUAAACGAUGUCUACUAGUUGUCGGGACUUAAUUGUCUUGGUAACGCAGCUAACGCGUGAAGUAGACCGCCUGGGGAGUACGGUCGCA